GUGCGAACGAGUUCUCGUUGAUGAUCGGUGCUUGCACCGAGAUUCAACAUGGAACGAGUGCCGGACGGGUGAGUAACACGUGGGUAACCUGCCCUUAAGUGCGGGAUAACAUUUGGAAACAGAUGCUAAUACCGCAUAGAUCCAAGAACCGCAUGGUUCUUGGCUGAAAGAUGGCGUAAGCUAUCGCUUUUGGAUGGACCCGCGGCGUAUUAGCUAGUUGGUGAGGUAAUGGCUCACCAAGGCGAUGAUACGUAGCCGAACUGAGAGGUUGAUCGGCCACAUUGGGACUGAGACACGGCCCAAACUCCUACGGGAGGCAGCAGUAGGGAAUCUUCCACAAUGGACGCAAGUCUGAUGGAGCAACGCCGCGUGAGUGAAGAAGGCUUUCGGGUCGUAAAACUCUGUUGUUGGAGAAGAAUGGUCGGCAGAGUAACUGUUGUCGGCGUGACGGUAUCCAACCAGAAAGCCACGGCUAACUACGUGCCAGCAGCCGCGGUAAUACGUAGGUGGCAAGCGUUAUCCGGAUUUAUUGGGCGUAAAGCGAGCGCAGGCGGUUUUUUAAGUCUGAUGUGAAAGCCCUCGGCUUAUCCGAGGAAGCGCAUCGUAAACUGGGAAACUUGAGUGCAGAAGAGGACAGUGGAUCUCCAUGUGUAGCGGUGAAAUGCGUAGAUAUAUGGAAGAACACCAGUGGCGAAGGCGGCUGUCUGGUCUGUAACUGACGCUGAGGCUCGAAAGCAUGGGUAGCGAACAGGAUUAGAUACCCUGGUAGUCCAUGCCGUAAACGAUGAAUGCUAGGUGUUGGAGGGUUUCCGCCCUUCAGUGCCGCAGCUAACGCAUUAAGCAUUCCGCCUGGGGAGUACGACCGCAAGGUUGAAACUCAAAGGAAUUGACGGGGGCCCGCACAAGCGGUGGAGCAUGUGGUUUAAUUCGAAGCAACGCGAAGAACCUUACCAGGUGGGUGGCGUCUUUUGAUCACCUGAGAGAUCAGGUUUCCCCUUCGGGGGCAAAAUGACAGGUGGUGCAUGGUUGUCGUCAGCUCGUGUCGUGAGAUGUUGGGUUAAGUCCCGCAACGAGCGCAACCCUUAUGACUAGUUGCCAGCAUUUAGUUGGGCACUCUAGUAAGACUGCCGGUGACAAACCGGAGGAAGGUGGGGAUGACGUCAAAUCAUCAUGCCCCUUAUGACCUGGGCUACACACGUGCUACAAUGGAUGGUACAACGAGUUGCGAGACCGCGAGGUCAAGCUAAUCUCUUAAACCCUUUCUCAGUUCUUUCUGUAGGCUGCAACUCGCCUCCACGAAGUCGGAAUC
RNAcentral lists this ribosomal RNA (1309 nucleotides) under Lacticaseibacillus paracasei subsp. tolerans. Its description in RNAcentral is "bacterial SSU rRNA". It matches the Rfam family "Bacterial small subunit ribosomal RNA", at positions 60 to 1333 of the family's 1533-position model. The record is from RNAcentral. Lineage: Bacteria; Bacillati; Bacillota; Bacilli; Lactobacillales; Lactobacillaceae.